GACGAACGCUGGCGGCGUGCCUAAUACAUGCAAGUAGAACGCUGAAGGAGGAGCUUGCUCUUCUGGAUGAGUUGCGAACGGGUGAGUAACGCGUAGGUAACCUGCCUGGUAGCGGGGGAUAACUAUUGGAAACGAUAGCUAAUACCGCAUAACAGUAGAUGUUGCAUGACAUUUGCUUAAAAGGUGCAAUUGCAUCACUACCAGAUGGACCUGCGUUGUAUUAGCUAGUUGGUGGGGUAACGGCUCACCAAGGCGACGAUACAUAGCCGACCUGAGAGGGUGAUCGGCCACACUGGGACUGAGACACGGCCCAGACUCCUACGGGAGGCAGCAAUAGGGAAUCUUCGGCAAUGGACGGAAGUCUGACCGAGCAACGCCGCGUGAGUGAAGAAGGUUUUCGGAUCGUAAAGCUCUGUUGUAAGAGAAGAACGAGUGUGAGAGUGGAAAGUUCACACUGUGACGGUAUCUUACCAGAAAGGGACGGCUAACUACGUG
This 495-nucleotide ribosomal RNA is filed under the name uncultured bacterium. Its description in RNAcentral is "partial 16S ribosomal RNA". It matches the Rfam family "Bacterial small subunit ribosomal RNA", at positions 28 to 507 of the family's 1533-position model. The record is from RNAcentral.